RNAcentral lists this long non-coding RNA (206 nucleotides) under Elaeis guineensis (African oil palm). RNAcentral's name for it is "long non-coding RNA (EGUI_LNC043074)". The record is from RNAcentral. Lineage: Eukaryota; Viridiplantae; Streptophyta; Magnoliopsida; Arecales; Arecaceae.
AGGUCAGUGGAAAGGAGCCGAAGAUAUCCAUACCCCAUUAUGCAAAAGGCCAGAGGGUGCAAAUGGGGGUGAUCGGCACUGCAAGUUGUCGUUGCAUGUUAAAAUUCUUCUGGCACUUGUUACACCACAUAACAUAAUUCUCAAAAUCAUUUUGCAUAGUCAGUCAAUAGUAUCCCAACCGAAGGAGCUUGUAAGCUAGUGCUCCC